Molecule: non-coding RNA, 278 nt
Organism: Coffea arabica (coffee)
Lineage: Eukaryota; Viridiplantae; Streptophyta; Magnoliopsida; Gentianales; Rubiaceae
Source: RefSeq, a predicted model, not a curated record
ACCAGGCCCCAGCCCCCCUACAACUUUUCUGCCGCGUCUGCUUAUUUAUACUCAGUUUCGAGGGCUUAUUUUUCUCCAAUAAAUUUUCUUAUCUUUAUUUUCUAUUUCCCGCACGGGUCUGGGGUUCGUCCUUCCCCUCCCCCUCUCUCUCCUCUCUCGAAUCGAAUAAGCCAAUAUUUUUUUGCCUGCAAUUGUGAACUUCAAAGUCUGUAAUGGCCUCCAAGAGGAUCCAGAAGGAACUUAAGGAUUUGCAGAAGGACCCUCCUGCUUCUUGCAGU